RNAcentral lists this unclassified non-coding RNA (336 nucleotides) under soil metagenome. RNAcentral describes it as "partial contains 5.8S ribosomal RNA, internal transcribed spacer 2, and large subunit ribosomal RNA". The stretch from base 1 to 120 matches the Rfam family "5.8S ribosomal RNA", at positions 35 to 154 of the family's 154-position model. The record is from RNAcentral.
GAUGAAGAACGCAGCGAAAUGCGAUAAGUAAUGUGAAUUGCAGAAUUCAGUGAAUCAUCGAAUCUUUGAACGCACAUUGCGCCCGCCAGUAUUCUGGCGGGCAUGCCUGUUCGAGCGUCAUUUCAACCAUCAAGCCCCCGGCUUGUGUUGGGGACCUGCGGCUGCCGCAGGCCCUGAAAAGCAGUGGCGGGCUCGCCGUCACACCGAGCGUAGUAGCAUACAUCUCGCUCUGGGCGUGCUGCGGGUUCCGGCCGUUAAACCACCUUCAUAACCCAAGGUUGACCUCGGAUCAGGUAGGAAGACCCGCUGAACUUAAGCAUAUCAAUAAGCGGAGGA